AUCGCUUCUCAGCCUUUUGGCUAAGAUCAAGUGUAGUAUCUGUUCUUAUCAGUUUAAUAUUUAUCUUAUCCUUUACAUUUCUCUUUGGGAGUAAAUUUCC
RNAcentral lists this small nuclear RNA (100 nucleotides) under Myotis brandtii (Brandt's bat). Its description in RNAcentral is "U2 spliceosomal RNA". It matches the Rfam family "U2 spliceosomal RNA". From Rfam's summary of the family: U2 is a small nuclear RNA (snRNA) component of the spliceosome (involved in pre-mRNA splicing). Lineage: Eukaryota; Metazoa; Chordata; Mammalia; Chiroptera; Vespertilionidae. The record is from Rfam by way of RNAcentral.